UCAAAUUGUGCGAAAAAUAAAAAAAUUCACGGUUCCGGUUAUCCCAACCGUUGUGCUACGGCCUUACACCCCGCAACCGCAACCGAGCCACCGCCACCGUUACGGCGACCGCAAUCACUUUUCAAAACCUUGGGUGGAACCCAUUAAAUGUGUGGGUCUUACUCCAUGUGGGAGAGUUGUGUUUGGUUUUGGAAUUGGAUUUUGUGCGCCUUAAAGAAUAAUUAUUGCCUUUUUGUGGCUUUUCCAACAAUUCGUAGCCAGUUUUACUACUAGUGGUGAUCCAAGUCAAUGGAAAGCUUGCAAGUUUUAUAGCCCCCCGUUUAACAAGUCUAAAUAAAGCGAGGAACGUGGUUUUGACAUUUUUUUUGGGUUCUUAAAUGUUUCCUAUGGUCUUUGUAGAGUGAGGCAGAUUACUGGCUUUUACCAGAGGCUGAUGUUAGCAUUACAAACUUGUGGGGGAUCAUGUAUCAUUUAUGGACUGUAAUAUUGAUUUGUAUUGAGUAGACAAAAAGUAGUUAUCAUAGUUUUCAUUGCCCAGAAUUUUGACACCUAAUAAGAAAAGGGAGAAGGAUAGUGUGUGUAUCACUUACAAGAUGCAUAUAACAUGUUUUUUGUAAUAACGUCACAAAAUUUUGUAACAUGAACAAUAAAAUACAGUUUUACUUUUAUCUUGCUAUUGUUUUAAACUGAUGGAAGUUUUGGUUGUGCAGGUGUUUGAGUCAUUAGCUGUGUUGCUUACUGAAUUGGAUGUCUUAGUUGUGCUGAUCUGGCUAUUAGUUGCCCCACUCCCUACACACGACCAGGCAUCACCACUUCAGAUGUGAGAGAUAUUGUAUUAGAAGGAAGUAGACAUCCUUGUGUUGAGGCACAAGAUUGGGCGAAUUUUAUCCCAACUGAUUGUAAACUAUUGAGUUUUUAUGCAAUCUAAGGGAUGGUUACUUUAUCUUACUUCUUUGUCUUUUAAAUAAAAUGGCUCAUUAGUUGCUUAUUUUGAUUUUCAUCACAACAUGUCAGGGGAAAAAGUUGGUUCCAGAAUAUCACAGGGCCUAACAUGGGUGGAAAAUCCACAUUUAUCAGACAGGCAUUAUGUUUCUCUUUUGCUGGAACUCUUCUUUCUCUAUCCAUCCCUCUCAAAUUAAAUAAAUAGUGGAUGUUUUAUUUUUCCAAUAAAUACAACUAGGGUAGUCUGUACUGUUUACAGUGUACCAUGUGUAGGGCCAUGUUUAAUUAAAUAGCUCUAUUGCUUUGGUGUUUCUGAAAAAUUAGAGUUAUUUCUUUUGCAAGUUUAUUUUCAUUCAAUUUG
Molecule: non-coding RNA, 1303 nt
Organism: Camellia sinensis
Lineage: Eukaryota; Viridiplantae; Streptophyta; Magnoliopsida; Ericales; Theaceae
Source: RefSeq, a predicted model, not a curated record